CAACAAGCAAGAGGACGGGAGGAGCGCACAAUUUCCAAACCAGGUAACCACACGGUGUGAUCCAAGCGAUCAGUUUCAUCGGAUAAGAAACAACAUACUAUAUGUCUUGAUUUCAGCAUUUAUUGAAAGAGAAAGAUAAAAUGUGUUUGCAUAUUUGUGCGUGCGUGUACCAAAAUUUUACUAGACUUUAAACUGUUAUUCCAAUUCUGUCCAAGAGCAAUAAAGAAAAAAGGAAGGCCACAGGAGUAAACAAGAAUGAGAGCAUCAGAGAAUCUCAGCAUCUGUGGUUGCAUAAAACCAACAGUCUUCACAAAAUGUGCAGGAAUUACCUAGGAAAUAUAUGUUCUAUUGCUUAAAGUUCAGGUAAAUUAAUAAAACAGUAUCCUCCUUUUAAAAACAGAAUCUUCCUUUAUCUGCAAAACAUUGUUGCAGUAUCUUUCUAUACUAUUAUUACUUGCAAAUAUUUGAAGUAACCAACAAAUAAGCACCAAAAACAAAUGUACCUGAUGGUGUCUGCCAUGGAAUCUGGACCCUCCUGCACAAUUCUCCCAAAGGCUCCUUUGAAUCCAUGUUAAGCUUUGGAUCAAGGGGACCUUCAUGCUUAUCAGAAAUUUUUGAAGGAACCAUCACAGGUUUUUUAUGUUCUACAAUCUUUGGCUGAAGAGGAACUUUAGAAGCUGGGAACAAAUUACCGGAUGGAGUAUUUGAGGGUUUAAUAGAACUUUCUGUCUUCCUACUAUUAGUUCCAUUAGAUGAGGAACCAGUUUUUCCAUAGUUGCCCUGCAUGAAUAAAGCACGCAUUUUUGCCUUUUGGACAUCACCAGUAGACAUUGGGCGACUUUGACUGACAGAUACUGCUUUUGUGGUCAGGGGGCUUCUGCUAGCUGUUAUAUGGCCUGGCUGUUCCACAAGUUGAACUUUUCUGCGUUCUCUGGUAAGGGAUACACCUAGGACAUGCUUCCUACUUGAAUCAUCUGUUGAUGACGGCAACAACUUUAAUGUUAGCGAAGGCUCCAUUUUCCUAAACAGCAAAUGUAUGCUCAGUGACUCAAAUAACAAUAAAGGUCCAACAAGUUGAAUGUCAGUCAGACCAAAAGUAUAUAUCUAUAACUCGUAUUUUCUGAACUUUCAGAAAGAGUAAGACCAUCUUCAGGAUUACCAACAUUAGGCUGCCAUAAUUCAUUGCCCAUAAUUUCAUCAAUGCUCUGCUUCAGUAUCAUCUCCUGCGCAUCAAUAGAAGAUUUCACACCAUUCGGCUUUUUCAUAGCUUCUCUUGCAAAUAUUUUGCUCCAUCUUGACAAUAAAACUCUUGCCCUGUUUGAUAUGUCUGAUCUUAAAAUCAGAUAUAUGAGAUUCAAAAUUAUCACAAGGGGCAUGAAGGAAUACAACAAAAAUAAAAAAGUGCAUAUUGUAUAUCAUACAAAACAAAACUCUAGAGCACACAAAAUUAAAUGAAAAUGUUAAUAGUCACAUAUACAAACAACUGCCAUAAUAAUUUUAAAAAAAGGACAAUGCAGUCAUCAAAUUGGUGUUUCAAAACCUCAAAAGCGCCAGAAAUCAAGAAAGCCCUACCAUUCUUUUAUUUAUGAAAUUCAAACCAAGCCACAUGAUUUACGCGUGUCCUUUGUUACCCAAAAGAAAGAUAAACUGAAAUUCUCUUUUUAUUGAAAACAUGACUCAUUUAAGAAAAGACACUCAAACAGCAUAACCGUUCAAUGGUACCAAUUAUCCAUCUUGGAAUGAAACACAAUUGCCUGAUAUAAUGAAAGAUAUGAUAAUGAGAGAGAGAGGGAGUGCAAAAAAUCACAAAAGACAAAUCCUUGCACAAAAGUACACCUGAUGUCCUGUAAAACCGCAGUUUAUUAACACUGUGCAGAAUGGCGGACAUAUGUUCAGGAAGAGCUCUAUGCAAGGGUAGAUGACAAAGAACCUUGAGGGCGACAAGAAGAAUGCUUGUUUGUUCUUCAACAGCUGCUUGACUCAACCAUGUAGCCAAAAUCAUGACACCACCUUUAGUUAAAAACCAAUUUAGCACCGAGGGAUUUUGUAUUUGCAAGAUCCAUUCCAUCAGCUUCACUUGCCCCGAGAAUGUUUCUUCCUUUCUCAACCAAAUGAAAAUAUUCUCAACAAAAUGUUUGUCCGAGUCAUUUAAUCCAGGUAAUACGUCACCCUGUGUUGAGCAAGAUGGUGCUUCGUCAGCAUUGGAAGGACCAGCAGGGUAUAUGGGACUCAGAUCAGGACCAACAGAGUUUAAAGGAACAGGAUCAGGAUGGACAGAGUUUAAAGGAACAGGAUCAGGAUGGACAGAGUUUAAUGGAGCCAGAUCAAUAGGAAUCAUAGGAUCAGAGCUCGCUGAGACCCCAUCUUGUGGCUCUUUACAUGAAUUUGUUCUAGCAGCUUUCUCUCUUGAUAAAUGGACUAGUUUCCUCACUCUUGAACGCUGGCUAGCAAAGAAAUCUCGAACCUGCGUGACAGUUACGCCAAAUUGAGCACUUAUCUCACGAGAUUCCUUCUUGCUGAUUGCAUUUUUUAUGGAGAAAACUGCUUGCAUAUACUUUAUAGCCUUGGGAUUUAACAAAUCUCUAGGUCUUUUUCCGAUUUUUAUUGACAUAGCGCCAGCUGCCAUCUCUUGAGAUAGAGGAUUAACGCCAGUGAGUUUGCAUUGAUUGACGACGAUGCGUUGAAGUUGAUCGAUCUGACUGUGAAAAAGCUCCUUCUGCGAACCCAGAAACCUGUGAAACGACUCGACGGAGCUCCCAAUCUCUAUUUCUUCUAAAUUCUCCUUCAACGCCUCCAUUGUCGAAGUAGACGAUUGAAGUCUCGAAGUUGGAUAUGCAAGAACAACGCAUUACAGUACGGUGUAAAGAAUUGACAAUUUCAAACUGAAAUAAAUGUGUAAUAGAGAAAACAAAUGUUUGGAUUAGGGUUAGGGUUACGUGAUGAGAAUGGGACGGAUGGGGGAGAGAGGGUGCAAUUGAAGCACCAAAGCAGCAAACAAAAGCCCGAAUCGGCACGUGAGACGAUGAGAGGAGUAAAAAGGAAAAAGCCACGCGUGUACUAGUACUGGCGGG
Molecule: unclassified non-coding RNA, 3071 nt
Filed under: Hevea brasiliensis (rubber tree)
Lineage: Eukaryota; Viridiplantae; Streptophyta; Magnoliopsida; Malpighiales; Euphorbiaceae
Source: RNAcentral